ACGAACGCUUUCUUCUUUCUUCACACAUGCAAGUCGAACGGAAAGGCCCUGCUUUUGUGGGGUGCUCGAGUGGCGAACGGGUGAGUAACACGUGAGUAACCUGCCCUUGACUUUGGGAUAACUUCAGGAAACUGGGGCUAAUACCGGAUAGGAGCUCCUGCUGCAUGGUGGGGGUUGGAAAGUUUCGGCGGUUGGGGAUGGACUCGCGGCUUAUCAGCUUGUUGGUGGGGUAGUGGCUUACCAAGGCUUUGACGGGUAGCCGGCCUGAGAGGGUGACCGGCCACAUUGGGACUGAGAUACGGCCCAGACUCCUACGGGAGGCAGCAGUGGGGAAUAUUGCACAAUGGGCGGAAGCCUGAUGCAGCAACGCCGCGUGCGGGAUGACGGCCUUCGGGUUGUAAACCGCUUUCGCCUGUGACGAAGCGUGAGUGACGGUAAUGGGUAAAGAAGCAACGGCUAACUACGUG
Molecule: ribosomal RNA, 467 nt
Filed under: uncultured bacterium
Lineage: Bacteria
Description: partial 16S ribosomal RNA
Rfam family: Bacterial small subunit ribosomal RNA
Source: RNAcentral